This 291-nucleotide unclassified non-coding RNA is filed under the name Hevea brasiliensis (rubber tree). The record is from RNAcentral. Lineage: Eukaryota; Viridiplantae; Streptophyta; Magnoliopsida; Malpighiales; Euphorbiaceae.
AGAGAGAGAGAGAGAGAUUAUAAAAAAUGUUAAAGAAAUAAACCCAAGACUACAACUUUUAGAAGCAACAUUUCUCAUAAAUCAUAGGAAAGGAAGCUAAAAAUGUUGUAAAUAUGAAAAGUGCUAAAAUAAAAUUCUUAAACAAGAUCAUAAAUAGGACAAAAAAAACUGAUUUUUCAUAAGAAUUAAACCAAAAUAAUUACUAAAUGUUUUUCCUGGGUUGCAUGAGAGAGAAAGAGACAGAAACAUGCCUAAUCAGUAUCCAGCUGUUAUGGAAAGUCAAUCACUAUG